AGGGUUUAUAGUUGUGCUUUGGAGGAUAAACAGGGAAAAACAGGUCUGUGCCACUUGUCAGGCUGGAAGUCCUACCAAAAUGUUUUUGCUGAAAACUUAGAAAUUGACCUCUGAAAAGAUUUCACAAACGUGAUUAUAGCUGGUUCUUUUAGUCUCUAAAUUGAAGAAACUUUUCUUCCCAUCAAGGUCAGUGGUAACUUGAGCCUCAAACCACAGGAAAGCUGACUAAUGGAUGAAAUCUUCAGGUGGACACUCCCUACCACAGCAAAAGCUGAGAAGAACAAGUUGACUCCUGUCUUUCUUCGCAAGGGGACAGGGCAAGCAGAACAUCUUCUCAAGGGCUCACCAGAAAUUUUCUUCACUGGAUCAGAAGAACGAAGUUUCAGACAGUGAAAGGCAGAAAGUGCCUGUGUCCUGAAGAUUUUAGUAAGAAAUCAUCCAUUCACUCCCCGCAUAGGCACCUGAAAAGCAGAUGAAACCAUUGAACAAUGGGGUGGCCCCACUUGUAAUUAUGUAUUUUACUUAUUAGUCAGCAUGCAAUGUGUGCAGAUUUCUUACGAGUGUGGAUAAAGAAAAUAAGACUGUAUACUUUACCUAGACAUUUAUAAAGUAUAACCUUGUGAGCAAAAAGUAAAAUUAUUUAAAAGAAUAGAGAGUCUGAAUAUGUGUAGCAUUUAAGAAGCAU
This is a long non-coding RNA of Lutra lutra (Eurasian river otter), 685 nucleotides long. RefSeq lists it as uncharacterized. The record is from RefSeq and is a predicted model, not a curated record. The transcript is spliced from 3 exons. Lineage: Eukaryota; Metazoa; Chordata; Mammalia; Carnivora; Mustelidae.